AGGACGAACGCUGGCGGCGCGCCUAACACAUGCAAGUCGAACGGAGCAUUUGAGCUUGCUCAAAUGCUUAGUGGCGAACGGGUGAGUAACACGUGAGCAAUCUGCCUUCGAGUGGGGGACAACAGUUGGAAACGACUGCUAAUACCGCAUAAUGCAGUUUAGGGGGCACUCCCCCUGAAUGACCAAAGCUUAAUGUGCUAGAAAGAUGGUCUCGCGUCUGAUUAGCUAGAUGGGCGGGGUAACGGCCCACCAUGGCGACGAUCAGUAGCCGGUCUGAGAGGAUGAACGGCCACAUUGGGACUGAGAUACGGCCCAGACUCCGUACGGGAGGCAGCAGGUGGGGAAUAUUGCACAAUGGGGGAAACCCUGAUGCAGCAAUGCCGCGUGAGGGAAGACGGUCUUCGGAUUGUAAACCUAAGUUGUCAGGGACGAAACAUGACGGUACCUGAAGAGAAAGCUCCGGCUAACUACGUG
RNAcentral lists this ribosomal RNA (474 nucleotides) under uncultured bacterium. RNAcentral's name for it is "bacterial SSU rRNA". It matches the Rfam family "Bacterial small subunit ribosomal RNA", at positions 26 to 507 of the family's 1533-position model. The record is from RNAcentral.